Molecule: ribosomal RNA, 439 nt
Filed under: uncultured bacterium
Lineage: Bacteria
Description: partial 16S ribosomal RNA
Rfam family: Bacterial small subunit ribosomal RNA
Source: RNAcentral
CUACGGGGCGCAGCAGUGAGGAAUAUUGCACAAUGGGGGGAACCCUGAUGCAGCAACGCCGCGUGGAGGAUGACGCAUUUCGGUGUGUAAACUCCUUUUAUAUGUCAAGAAAAUGACGGUAGCAUAUGAAUAAGCACCGGCUAACUCCGUGCCAGCAGCCGCGGUAAUACGGAGGGUGCAAGCGUUACUCGGAAUCACUGGGCGUAAAGGGCGCGUAGGCGGGUUGGAAAGUCAGGUGUGAAAUCCUACAGCUUAACUGUAGAACUGCACUUGAAACUUCUAAUCUAGAGUAUGGGAGGGGGAGAUGGAAUUAGUGGUGUAGGGGUAAAAUCCGUAGAUAUCACUAGGAAUACCUAAAGCGAAGGCGAUCUCCUGGAACAUUACUGACGCUAAGGCGUGAAAGCGUGGGGAGUAAACAGGAUUAGAUACCCGCGUAGUC